UGUUGCCACAGUCUAUUGAAUUUAAAUCCAGAUUACUUGCAGCACGUCAAUCAAACAUUGAGCGAAUCACUCGAACAAGUUCUCAACAAAGUUACUCUGUUACAGAUGAGUUAGACAAAGGAAUUGUACUGUUUAAAACUAUUAGGGAUUUAGUUCAGUGCACGCAAGAAUCCAGCUAUUGGAUUGCGGCAAAAUUGGUUAAUUUGGAACUUGACCGAGGAUGGUCAUACUUGACAUGCAACAAGUGUAGUCGAAAGGUGGAAAAAGUUGGAAAUAAAUACUUUUGUGCCAAAUGCAAUGAAGAAGAGUCUUCUGUUACUCACAGGUUAGUACUAUU
Molecule: non-coding RNA, 337 nt
Organism: Nicotiana tabacum (common tobacco)
Lineage: Eukaryota; Viridiplantae; Streptophyta; Magnoliopsida; Solanales; Solanaceae
Source: RefSeq, a predicted model, not a curated record